Molecule: ribosomal RNA, 1605 nt
Filed under: Triticum aestivum (bread wheat)
Lineage: Eukaryota; Viridiplantae; Streptophyta; Magnoliopsida; Poales; Poaceae
Description: partial small subunit ribosomal RNA
Source: RNAcentral
AUGUACGCAGUCCGUGGCAGUGGUGGCGACAGCGGCAGCAACGGCGCGGAACCGUGGAGAACACAGCCGAUCGAUCACGAUGCACUUCUUCUUACUUCAUGGUUUAUCUAUAUAUACAUAUAUCUCGUUCUUUCCACUCCUAAUCUCUCAGGUGACGCAAGGCCGGGAAGUUGCGUCGCCAGCGGGGGCGCACACUUGGCCGCUUUAUAUGGACUUGUCCAAGCUAGCUCCACGAAAAUCAUCAUCUGGAGACAUCUUAUGCGAGGAGACCUCAAGGCCAUCGGGAGAUUACCCCGGGAGGAACCGAGCCAAGAGGAGACGCGCCUGCGGUGGCUGCGUCGAGGAUGUGACGACGCGUCGGCGGCAGCGCGCACGGCCACCCCACAUACGCAUGGAGGCCAACACACGCCCAGUUGGAGAUGCUCCCAUGGCGGCGGCGGCGAGGAGAUCGCGAGGACGUGCCCAUGGCAAAGGCAUGCUCGCCGAGCAGCGCAUACACCCUGGUCGUCCGGCGGCUGCAGAUACACGAAGGAGCCCGCACAACUGGCCCUAGCACUCAAGGCGGCCGCGGGCGCCACCUAUGGCGCCUUCUUCGAUCGGCGUCUUCAUCCAUCUAGACCACCACAAGGCUGGCGGCGUCCCGGCGCCAUCUACACCAUAUGCCAGCAUCGGGCCUGUCGCCAUCUACACCACCGCGACAACGUCCAAGCUGCCGGCCUACAGCCCGGCGCCAUCUCCAUCCCGCCAUCAUCAACCUGCACCAUAGAAGAAGAAGCUCCGAUGACAUCUCCAUGGAGUCAACAAGACACUCGGUGGCAGCGACGUAGUACACGCUACAACAAAGCUCAAGAUGGCAGCGACCAGGUGCGCGCCCAUGAAGAUUGCAGACGAGGCGCCGAGACUAAGCAUGCCGGCGUCGACGACGGACUUGCGUGCAUACAGCUCGCCCGGUGCCACCAAAGAAGACGGAGGAGGAGUUACCCAUCGUCUUGGCAUCUUUAUCAACCUCGCCAAUGUCAUCAUCACCGACAUCAGGCUCGACGGUCAUUCAACUGCAUCAACUCUUCAUCCGAUGAGGACGACGUUUGCAUCAAUGCGCCGUCAUACGCCUACAUCGACUUCAUACCCGGGGUCGACACCGUUUACCGCGCCACGACAUCGCAAUCUUCAUCAACUCUUUGUUUGGCGAGGAUGUCCUCUACCUCGGCGCCACCGAACUUCGACAUGAUGAUAUUGCCAUCUUCUUUGACUUACUUCCUGGCGAGGAUGCCGACUGUAUCGGCACGCUACCAUCCUUCUACACCAACCGUCUGCACUAAGUGGAGGCGAAGGCAAGCCACCAUGUCCGACACCAACGAGGCGGACACAACCAGGCCGGGCACCGACGAGGCGAAGGCCACCCAUCUGUCUGAGCUGACGAAGCCAGACAUCUUCAUCAUUGGACAUCGACAAGCCGGAGGGAUAUUGCAAGCAUUGUCGAAGCGAGGGAUGGUGGCAGAGAGACCGGAGGCGGACGUGGUGGUGAUCGGGAGCGGGCUCGGGGGGAUCUGCUGCGCGGGCCUCUUCCUCCUGGCGAGGUACAACCAGGACGGGGUGGUGCUGUAG